UACGAAGGGGGCUAGCGUUGCUCGGAAUUACUGGGCGUAAAGCGCACGUAGGCGGCUUUCUAAGUCGGGGGGUGAAAUCCUGGAGCUCAACUCCAGAACUGCCUUCGAUACUGGAGAGCUUGAGUCCGGGAGAGGUGAGUGGAACUGCGAGUGUAGAGGUGAAAUUUCGUAGAUAUUCGCAAGAACACCAGUGGCGAAGGCGGCUCACUGGCCCGAUACUGACGCUGAGGCACGAAAGCGUGGGGAGCAAACGGGG
Molecule: ribosomal RNA, 256 nt
Filed under: uncultured bacterium
Lineage: Bacteria
Description: partial 16S ribosomal RNA
Rfam family: Bacterial small subunit ribosomal RNA
Source: RNAcentral